GUCUAUGGCCCUGCUACCCUGAACAAACCCAAUCCCAUCUGAUCUUGGAAGCUAAGCAGGAUUGGGCCUGGUUAGUACUUGGAUGGGAGACCACCUAAGAAGACCAGGUGCUGUAGGCA
This 119-nucleotide ribosomal RNA is filed under the name Pteropus alecto (black flying fox). Lineage: Eukaryota; Metazoa; Chordata; Mammalia; Chiroptera; Pteropodidae. The record is from RNAcentral.